This 834-nucleotide small RNA is filed under the name Pongo abelii (Sumatran orangutan). RNAcentral describes it as "retained intron". Lineage: Eukaryota; Metazoa; Chordata; Mammalia; Primates; Hominidae. The record is from RNAcentral.
GGCCAUCUUGGAGGCUGAGGCGGCGGCGGCGCUGCGGCGGGUUCGGUGGGCCCAGUCCCGGGGCGGUGCGGCUGUUUCGGGCGCGGGCCCCGCUUUUCCGCACCCUGCUCCGGCCUCGACCACGGCGAGCCUGAGCGCGGCGGCGGCCCACGCGCAGCGACAGGGAGAAUGAGCAGCACCAGCAAUAAGAGGGCUCCAACCACAGCAACCCAGAGGCUGAAGCAGGACUACCUUCGCAUUAAGAAAGACCCGGUGCCUUACAUCUGUGCCGAGCCCCUCCCUUCGAAUAUUCUCGAGUGGCACUAUGUCGUCCGAGGCCCAGAGAUGACCCCUUAUGAAGGUAAGGAUUCUGUACUUAGGUAGAAGAACACCAGGCAGUUUUUAUAUUCUGAAUCAACCUUGCCUGUUCAACAUCUUUGAUUUGCAAACAGCAGCCUUUUUACUUUGGAUGUGCGCUAGUUAAAUUGGCUUAGUUGGAACUCCUCCUCGUCUGCUUCUCCACACGCUGGAAGUGUUUGCUCCGCUGAUGUGUCUCAGCCUGCAGGGCCGCCUGUAGCGUCUGUGUUCACCAGCCUCUGACACCGUGGGGCCAUAGCUGAGAAAACCAGACCAGGGUAAACACUGAAGCUGGCAUGUUCUACUAUUUCUUAAGACCCAGUGCAUAUCGUCAAAGGAAAGGCAUAUAUAUUCAGUUAUUCAGUGUGCCCUCUGUGCUGGGCGCCCCCAGGGUUUCACGAUCCCCAGGACGGUCUCAGAGCUAAGCGGAAGUACCCCUGUGUGGUGGCACCUGGGGCUUCGGGAGGCUGCAGGACCUGCCCAGUAUCUCAGCCCUUC